Molecule: transfer RNA, 72 nt
Filed under: Heterocephalus glaber (naked mole-rat)
Lineage: Eukaryota; Metazoa; Chordata; Mammalia; Rodentia; Bathyergidae
Rfam family: tRNA
About the family: Transfer RNA (tRNA) molecules are approximately 80 nucleotides in length. Their secondary structure includes four short double-helical elements and three loops (D, anti-codon, and T loops).
Source: Rfam by way of RNAcentral
UGGGGUACAGCUCAGCGGUAAAGCACUUGCCUGGCAUGCACAAGGUCCUGGGUUUGAUCCCCAGCACCACAA